GUUUAAACCAUUUAAUGAGAGGUUGUGUGUGUGUGUGUAUUUUACUUGGUGAUGUUGCUGAAGAAAUCGUAUGAAACCUCACUGCAAGCAAGCUGUUUAGUGAGAUCUCUCCUGUUUCUUAAGACGUGUUUUGAAACUCUAGAUAAGGGCAUUAGAAUGGCUCAGUAGUGCUUAUUUACAGCAGUUUUCCACAUGUAUUAAGCUUUGAUAUACCAUUUUGUGGAGUUUUAAAUAUAGGUCUUAAAUGCAUCGUUCCAAAAUUCUCCUCAAAUCGUCUUCUUUGCUUUAGGGCCGGACCCUGUGUACUUAGACCAUUUGUCUACAUUCAGGUCAUUGGUAACCUGGAACUGUGUAUUCAGUAAAUAACCUUUUGAAUGGCAAAACUCAGUCUGACUGAUAAAAUAGAAUUCUAAACUUCAAUCCAUCACAGAGCCGAUUUAGAAAUACUAAUUAUCAAUUUCACUGGAAAAGAUGUCAAUAUCCAAAUAGGUAAUUUAUUCAGAAUGUAGCACUGAUGUGGGACUUGGAUCAAAUGUGUCCUUUCUCUAGUUACGGAAAUCUUACAAUUGUAACUUCUUUAAAAGUUUUACAUCAUGAACAGGGAGGAGGUUUGGGUUUUUUUUACCAGCUCCAAUUAAAAUACAUAGGAAUAGAAUACUUAACAGUGAAAAUCUACAGUCUUGGAGAAAUAUGAUUUACAUAGUAUCAUAGAAUACUUAGGGUUGGAAAGGUCCAUUUUCCUUAACAUUUUCUGUAGGUGAUGCAUGGUUAAGACAGAAAGUCAUUCAUGAGUUAGCUUUUGCAUGUGUUCAUGCUUUUUUAAGGCUUUGGCUGUAUUCAUUGUGUUGUCCUGUCUUACUCUUAAAUACUUUGAAUUCUAGCAUGAAAUUUUAAAAGUUGAUUAAUGAUAUAUAUCUAUAUAGUAAUUCUGGAAACUAUGUAUUUCUAUCAGCUUGGGAGGUAUUGUUCAUGUUUAUUUUUUUUCUUUUAUCAGUGUAGUGCACCCUAAUGAUAAGUGGGAAUGUAUGCUUUUCUGGCUUGAGGUUUACACAUACAUUUAGAGAUUCUUCUAAAAAAUAACUGGUUUCUAUGUUAGAGACGACUAAAAGACUUUGAUCAAGUUACCUGUUUUCCAAAGUGAGCUUUAGUUGAUAUCAGACUUGUCAUUGUCUUGCAGUUUUAGUAACAUUGCUUGAGUAGCAAAGUCCUAUUUAAACAAAUUAUACAUAUCUACAUGCAUAAGUUCUUUUUUUCUCUUACUUGCUCCUACUCAACUGUUUGAAGCUAGUUCUUGUUAGCAGCUUUCAAGUUUAAUUUCUAAAAGUAUAUUUAAUGCAUAAAAAAAAUUCCUCUCAGGGUUCCACCUUAUUGCACAUAAUUUCAUUUUAGUGCUACUUCCUAGUGCUCACAACUGAGCUUAAUAAAGCAUACUAUUUUACAAUGAGUUGCCACUGAAAUGCUGAUGCUUGCUUUAUUCCAGAAGUGGAACAGCAAAUUUUUCCAUUAAGUAAUAAGCUAAGCUUUCGCUUCCUUCAGUUGUCUUAUCUUCAUUAGCUUAGUUAAACAAUGACAUUGUGAAAGGCCACAGAAAUAAAGCUCUAACAUGUCUCUGUUGAUAGUUUGACCUUUUUGUCCAAAGCCUCAAUAAUGUUUUAGAUCAUCUACUUAAUAAACCUAGAAAAUUAGAACUCCAUAUAUAACCUUUGGUAAUCUGCAAACCGAUUUACUAGCUGCUUCUCCACCACAGAGCCCAUGCUAAAGCAUCUUGCUGUCUCUACCUUUGUAAGCUUAUAAUAAAAACUAAUCUAUGCAAAUACAUAAUAACUGCAGAGAGUGUUUCUGCUGGUUUUGUACUCAUUUAGAAAUAAAGUUGACUAAGAAUGUAGGGAAUGGAUUUUUCCAUUUUAUCCAGCUCUCCCUAGUCACUUUCUGUGUUCAGGUCUCCCCUGUGUUAUAUGGGAUACCUUAUCCUGGGGGGAAUGUGAGGCGACUAUGCCAGUUCUCUUGAUUUGUUUGACAUACAUGUUAAAGAGGAAUUUAAUCUUCUGCUAUGUAACCCAAGCUCUCACAGAAUGCCUCACUCCUUAAAGAGAAAUGCAACGUGUAUUCCCUAAUAGGAGCACAAGAUGAAUUGAGUAGAUUCUUGAUGGUUUUAUGACCUGUGUCCAGUAUUCUAAUAAAA
This is a long non-coding RNA of Pezoporus occidentalis (night parrot), 2182 nucleotides long. RefSeq lists it as uncharacterized. NCBI's taxonomy places the organism in Eukaryota, Metazoa, Chordata, Aves, Psittaciformes, Psittacidae. The transcript has 2 exons. The record is from RefSeq and is a predicted model, not a curated record.